Long non-coding RNA from Hemicordylus capensis (graceful crag lizard), 418 nucleotides. RefSeq lists it as uncharacterized. Lineage: Eukaryota; Metazoa; Chordata; Lepidosauria; Squamata; Cordylidae. The record is from RefSeq and is a predicted model, not a curated record. The transcript is spliced from 2 exons.
GCGGCGGUGGAGGGUAGGGGUGGAGAGACAAAAAACUAACCAUGUUGCAUGUUUCAAAGGUGUGCAGUGGCAUAGUGGCAUCUUUCCAUCAUAUGUAUGGGAAUCGGAAAGCCACAACAGCAAAAGAAAAAGAAAAGAAGAAAGAAAAGAAAAGAAGAAAGAAAAGAAGAAAGAAAAGAAAAAGAAGCAAAAAAAGAAAAGAAGCUGAGGUGUAAUUUUCAUGGCUAAAAGUGGGGGGCGGGGGUGGAAUGAAACCUGCAAAUAAAGUUAUUCCUUGUAAGGUCAAUGGGAACUAUGAACCCCAGAGCACUCAGUCUUCAGGGUGUGAAUAAUAUUUUGCAGUUUGUCAAUCCAUUCAUUUUCAUUUUUAAGCCUUUGUUUAUUUUGUCAUUCAUUUAUUAAAAUUAAAUUUGUUUCA